UUGCCCUACGGGACGCAGCAGUGAGGAAUAUUGGUCAAUGGUCGGGAGACUGAACCAGCCAAGCCGCGUGAGGGAGGAAGGUACAGAGUAUCGUAAACCUCUUUUGUCAGGGAACAAAGACUGGGACGCGUCCCCGGAUGAGUGUACCUGAAGAAAAAGCAUCGGCUAACUCCGUGCCAGCAGCCGCGGUAAUACGGAGGAUGCGAGCGUUAUCCGGAUUUACUGGGUGUAAAGGGAGCGUAGACGGCAGCACAAGUCUGGAGUGAAAUCCCGGGGCUUAACCCCGGAACUGCUUUGGAAACUGU
RNAcentral lists this ribosomal RNA (305 nucleotides) under uncultured bacterium. RNAcentral's name for it is "bacterial SSU rRNA". It matches the Rfam family "Bacterial small subunit ribosomal RNA", at positions 334 to 636 of the family's 1533-position model. The record is from RNAcentral.